Molecule: long non-coding RNA, 2931 nt
Filed under: Gallus gallus (chicken)
Lineage: Eukaryota; Metazoa; Chordata; Aves; Galliformes; Phasianidae
Description: long non-coding RNA NONGGAT009085
Source: RNAcentral
CGCGGAUCUGCGUUAAGGGAUCGACGGGGCCGGCCGUGGCAGCUUGUGCUUGUCUGUACGGCGCUUCGUACCGACGCGCCUAAGCGGAGCCGUUACCCCGCCGCAUCCGCGCCUCCGUGCGUGUGGGGCCGCCUCAGCGCAGAGGCGCCGUGCGGGGCAGCGGGCCGGGAUCUGCCAUGGAGUCACCAUGGAGUCACCUCCAGCUCUGAGGUGCAGUGCUUCCUAGCUGGGAUACCUCCUCCCAGGUUGAAUGCUUCCUUCCAUUACGACUCCUACUCAGAUAUUUACCACAUACGCACCAUUAGAAGACGAUAUCAAGCGGGUCAGGAGACAAGAUGGGAAAUAUUUGCAGUCCUAAUUAGCCCUGUUGAUAGCCAGUGGAAAUUACAAGCGUACUAACAAUUAAAACCUGCUUCACUGGUGCAUAUUUGACAUUUCUUCCCAAAAUACCGCUAAAUACGUCUCAGAACCUCCUGGCACGCGCUGCCAUCGCUACCUUCGUCUGCAGUGAGGAGAUUUCUGAGGCCUGCCCUGCCAGCCGCAGGCCACGUCCAACCAUUGCUUCACAAAGUCAUUUCCAUCCAUGAGUUCUUGAGGCUGACACGUGGGAGCCCCACACACCGUCGGGCUGCGUGCAGCGGGCGCCCCACAGCAGCAGUGCUUUGCGGAGGCCCUUGGGAAGCCCCUCUUGAAGCAGUGGAUCUCCCACAGAGGAACGCACGCGGCUCUCGGGAUAUUUAUAAGGCAGAGCAGCUCUCCUCUGCAGCCCUUCCCUGCCGGGGCUGUAACUCACAGCUGUGCAUGGCCCCCCCGCAGCCGGGAGCUCCAUGCUCUCUGCUGUUGCUCCAUGGGGCUGAAAUGUCCGCCCUCCUGCUGCCCACGCAGCCGCUCUCCGCAUGCCUGCAACACACUGCUCUGCUAUUUCUGAGCAUUGCCAGCAGCUGUCGGCUUAUGAAGCAAGAAGAGGAAACGCAGCAGGCUUGAGGUGUCGGUGUGGGUCCUUGCUCCGCUCCUCAUUUUAACCCAAGAACCCUUAUCAGUGCACGGUGCUGGUUCUGUCCCAGUGUGUGCCACCUCCCUGCCAGAACACACAGCAGACCCACCAGGAGGCGGCUGUUCAGGUGCUUUUUGAGGCCACAUUGGCUUCUUGCACAGAGAACGUGACAUUUGUUUCUGAACAAAGUACAGCCAUGGCUUCGGAGCAGCAAGAGGAGCUCCAUGUGUCACCCCGUCGUGGCAUGCUGCAAAGCAGCCUCAGCAACUUUCUGCUCAGCUUCCUGGCAGCUGUUCUCAGUGGAUUCCCGAUGUGCUGCAUGGAGAGACUGCACUCAGAGCGUGGUGCCCACGGCUGCAAUUAGAUGCAGGGAAUGCAGCAGCAGCCAGAACACAGCGUGCUUUGUGCUGAGCUCUUUGCACUGAGCAUUCCUGGUGCGUGGGCUCCUGAAGGGAAGCAGUCCUGGAGUGGCAGCGGGGCAGCAGCAGUGGGCAGACGUCCUUCAGGGCUCCUGUGUACCCUCUCAUUUCAGCAUGGGUUUUUGCAGAGCAGGAAACCCAGCAGUGCUGUUAACAGGAGGGCUGUAAACACGUGGACAACAGCACUGCUUCCUCACAAGGGGCAUGCAUUGGAAAGCAAAAAAGCGCAGCACUGCUCUGCACAUGGAGAUGUGCAACAGAGAAGUGAAGCAAAGCGUGCAGCCACAGAACUUCAGUGAACCCGGACUAAUUGAGCCCUGCCUGUUCCUCCUUCCCCUGAAUCCCAAGCAACUCGCAAGGUGAGUGCUGCUCCUUCCCAGCAGCAGGGCAGCAGGUAUUUCCAGCUGACAGAGGCAGCGCCAGAGCCUCGGGCAGCAGAGGGUUGGUCCUGAGCUCUGCCCUUACCAAACCCCUGUGCAGCAUCCAGCCAUUCUCUGUGAGCUCUGCUGUGCUCUGUCCUCAGAUGGAAGGAGGAAAAGAGAGCAAAUAAAGCAUUUUCCCCUCACAAGGGCUGGGGGAGUGGGCACAACAGCAGCGCUGUGAAGGCCAGGACGAGCGAAGCGCAUGCAGUGCUGCCAGCAGUGCUGCUCUGUGCCACCACACCCUGUGGAGCUGUAUCUAUGACCCAGCUGGCUGCAAAAGAGCAAACACAUCUCCUUUUAAUUCAUGCAGCCCAUGCCAUGACUUUUCAGCUGGAUCAGCUCUCUGGCUCAGCGUUCCUCCCUGAGACUUUUGGGGCUCUUUGCUCAUUUUCCCCACUGUCAGACCCACGUUCCAAGGCCGCCCUGCAGCCAGGCUCCAUGUAUUCAGGGAGCAGCGUGGUGCCAGCUGUGUCCCUGGGUGAUGCUGAGGCUGCAGAGGACCUCGGUGUGCUGAACGUGCUGGCACCAGGCGCGCUCAGACCACGUGUGCUGGAGCACACAGGCAGCAGCAGCCGGCGGGGGAACGCGGGCAGGCGAGAUCAAACGGCCUGAAAGCAGGUCACGGCAUCACCCUGCUGCAGACAGCAUGGCAACUGCUCAUUAGGGUGAUUACAGGCAGAGGAGCUGCCCCGGCUCUCUGCUAAUGAGCAGCACGGGCUGCCCGACCGGUGCGGCACAAGCAAAGCCUGCGGCUGUUGGUGCACGUUCAGCUCCCGAGGUUUCCUCGUGCUCCUGUCCACCCCUGUCCAUGUCCCCAUCCCCAUCCCCAUCCCCUGCCCCUGUUCAUCCCCGGCCCCAUCCUGAGCAGUGCAGCACAGCCCCGGCCCAUUGCUGGUAUCUGAUACGACUGCGCAGAGCAUCCCAUGCAGCCCUGGCUGCCUUCCUCCGACUGCUCCGAGGAAUAGCAAUAAUGUGCGGAAUGAGAAGCUGGGUUUGGUAUUAUCCAUGUAUUUACAUUCUGCUGUAUUCCCUCUUCCUCACAACAUAAUGUUACAUAUCGCAUAUAAUUAUUGGCAGUUGAAACCGGAUGAUCUUU